UUUUCGUACCACGGCGAGGCCGGAUUCCUGUUUUAUCAUGAAUAUUCAUUAGGCAGGGUCGGGGAAAGUCUCGAUUCUCUUAAAUAUUCAUAUCGAGGUGGGAAUGCACGACGCGCGCUAUACUCGCACAAAGUGAGAAGAUUUAGUUCACGGAGAAUGCAUAUGGAUUGAAACUGAAGAGCUGGAAGGAGGACAUUACAACAUCUCUUAUAUUUGCAAGAUGAAGCAGAAAGUCCCAUGCAGGAUGAUGCCUCUCUACAGUGGAUGAUGAAGGCAUUCUGGUUUGCAAACUCAGGAGAGAAACAAAGAACAGAUGUUGACGGGAUCAUAUCUAGAGAUACGGGC
Strongylocentrotus purpuratus (purple sea urchin) is the source of this 345-nucleotide long non-coding RNA. RefSeq lists it as uncharacterized. The transcript has 3 exons. The record is from RefSeq and is a predicted model, not a curated record. Lineage: Eukaryota; Metazoa; Echinodermata; Echinoidea; Camarodonta; Strongylocentrotidae.